This 2163-nucleotide ribosomal RNA is filed under the name Selaginella bryopteris. Its description in RNAcentral is "bacterial LSU rRNA". It matches the Rfam family "Bacterial large subunit ribosomal RNA", at positions 3 to 2125 of the family's 2925-position model. Lineage: Eukaryota; Viridiplantae; Streptophyta; Lycopodiopsida; Selaginellales; Selaginellaceae. The record is from RNAcentral.
UCAAGUCCUUAAGGGCACGGGGGGGAUGCCUAGGCGUCAUCAGAUGACGGGCGUGUUGGCUGCGAUAAGUCCGGGGGAGCUGCCCAAAGAGCGUCGAUCCCGGAGUACCCGUCGGAGACGCGGGGAACUGAAACAUCUCAGUACCCGGAGGAAAAGAAAUCAACCGAGAUUCCGCAAGUAGUGGCGAGCGAACGCGGAGGAGCCUGUACGUGAUAACUGUCGAGAUAGAAGAACAAGCUGGGAAGCUUGACCAUAGUGGGUGAUAGUCCCGUAUUCGAAAUCUCAAUAGUGGUACUAAGCGUACGAAAAGUAGGGCGGGACACGUGAAAUCCUGUCUGAACAUGGGGGGACCACCCUCCAAGCCUAAGUACUCGUGCAUGACCGAUAGUGAACCAGUACCGUGAGGGAAAGGUGAAAAGUACCCCGGGAGGGGAGUGAAAUAGUACCUGAAACCGUGUGCCUACAAGCCGUCAGAGCCUGGACUUGUCCGGUGAUGGCGUGCCUUUUGAAGAAUGAGCCUGCGAGUUAGCGGUACGUGGCGAGGUUAACCCGUGUGGGGUAGCCGUAGCGAAAGCGAGUCCGAACAGGGCGUUUCAGUCGCGUGCUCUAGACCCGAAGCGGGGUGAUCUACCCAUGGCCAGGGUGAAGCGCCGGUAAGACGGCGUGGAGGCCCGAACCCACCAGGGUUGAAAACCUGGGGGAUGAGCUGUGGGUAGGGGUGAAAGGCCAAUCAAACUCCGUGAUAGCUGGUUCUCCCCGAAAUGCAUUUAGGUGCAGCGUCACGUGUUUCUUCCCGGAGGUAGAGCUACUGGAUGGCCGAUGGGCCCCACAAGGUUACUGACGUCAGCCAAACUCCGAAUGCCGGUGAGUGAGAGCGCGGCAGUGAGACUGCGGGGGAUAAGCUUCGUAGUCGAGAGGGAAACAGCCCAGAUCACCAGCUAAGGCCCCUGAAUGACCGCUCAGUGGUGAAGGAGGUAGGAGUGCAAAGACAGCCGGGAGGUUUGCCCAGAAGCAGCCAUCCUUGAAAGAGUGCGUAAUAGCUCACUGGUCAAGUGAUUCCGCGCCGACAAUGUAGCGGGGCUCAAGCGCACCGCCGAAGCCGCGGCAGCACCACGGACACCUAACGGUGGUGGUGCUGGGUAGGGGAGCGUCAUGCGGGUGGUGAAGCGGCGGAGUGAUCCAGCCGUGGACGCCACACGAGUGAGAAUGCAGGCAUGAGUAGCGAAAGACGGGUGAGAAACCCGUCCGCCGGAUGACCAAGGGUUCCAGGGUCAAGCUAAUCUGCCCUGGGUAAGUCGGGACCUAAGGCGAGGCCGACAGGCGUAGUCGAUGGACAACGGGUUGAUAUUCCCGUACCGGCGAAGGACCGCCCCUGCUGACCUGGUGAUACUAACCGCCCGAACCAUCCGUGACUUGCCCCUUCGGGGGUGAGCGUGUGGUGGGGAGCGCGGGACCUGAACCAGGAAGGCAAGCGUAUUAACAGGUGUGACGCAGGAAGGUAGCCGGGCCAGGCAAUGGAAUCGACCUGGUCUAAGGGUGUAGGGCUGCCGGUAGGUAAAUCCGCCGGCUGUAUGUCUGAGACCUGAUGGGCGCCCACCAUGUGGGUGAUCCGGUGAUCCUAUGCUGCCAAGAAAAGCAUCGACGCGAGGUCCCAGCCGCCCGUACCCCAAACCGACACAGGUGGUCAGGUAGAGAAUACCGAGGCGAUCGAGCGAACUGUGGUUAAGGAAUUCGGCAAAAUACCUCCGUAACUUCGGGAGAAGGAGGGCCGGUUGUCUUGAGGCUCCUUGCGGGCUAGGGACGGCCGGUCGCAGAGACCAGGCCCAAGCGACUGUUUACUAAAAACACAGGUCCGUGCGAAGUCGCAAGACGAUGUAUACGGACUGACGCCUGCCCGGUGCUGGAACGUUAAGAGGACCUGUUAACUCCUUUGUGGGGUGAAGCGGAGAAUUUAAGCGCCAGUAAACGGCGGUGGUAACUAUAACCAUCCUAAGGUAGCGAAAUUCCUUGUCGGGUAAGUUCCGACCUGCACGAAUGGAGUAACGACUUCCCCGCUGUCUCGACCACAGACUCGGCGAAAUUGCACUACGAGUAAAGAUGCUCGUUACGCGCGGCAGGACGGAAAGACCCCGGGACCUUCACUACAGCUUGGUAUUGGUGAGA